GACAAACGCUGGCGGCGUGCUUAACACAUGCAAGUCGAACGGUACUCCUACGGGAGUAUAGUGGCGGACGGGUGAGUAACACGUAGCUAAUCUACCCUGAUGUGGGGAAUAACCCCUCGAAAGAGGAGCUAAGACCGCAUAAGUUCUCUCUUGUUAGAGAGAGAAGAAACUUUGGCAGUGAAAAGCCAGAGGCGUUAGGAUGAGGCUGCGGCGGAUUAGCUAGAUGGUGGGGAAAAGCCUACCAUGGCGACGAUCCGUAGCUGGUCUGAGAGGACGACCAGCCACACUGGGACUGAGACACGGCCCAGACUCCUACGGGAGGCAGCAGUGAGGAAUAUUCCACAAUGGGCGCAAGCCUGAUGGAGCGACGCCGCGUGGGGGAAGAAGCCUUUCGGGUGGUAACCUCUUUUCUUUCGGUAUGAUACGAGGGAAGCCGCAGGGUAAAUCCCUCUAAGACAGUACGGAAGGAAUAAGCAUCGG
Molecule: ribosomal RNA, 480 nt
Filed under: uncultured bacterium
Lineage: Bacteria
Description: bacterial SSU rRNA
Rfam family: Bacterial small subunit ribosomal RNA
Source: RNAcentral